GAUGAACGCUGGCGGCGUGCCUAAUACAUGCAAGUCGAGCGAACGGACGAGAAGCUUGCUUCUCUGAUGUUAGCGGCGGACGGGUGAGUAACACGUGGAUAACCUACCUAUAAGACUGGGAUAACUUCGGGAAACCGGAGCUAAUACCGGAUAAUAUUUUGAACCGCAUGGUUCAAAAGUAAAAGACGGUCUUGCUGUCACUUAUAGAUGGAUCCGCGCUGCAUUAGCUAGUUGGUAAGGUAACGGCUUACCAAGGCAACGAUGCAUAGCCGACCUGAGAGGGUGAUCGGCCACACUGGAACUGAGACACGGUCCAGACUCCUACGGGAGGCAGCAGUAGGGAAUCUUCCGCAAUGGGCGAAAGCCUGACGGAGCAACGCCGCGUGAGUGAUGAAGGUCUUCGGAUCGUAAAACUCUGUUAUUAGGGAAGAAAAUAUGUGUAAGUAACUGUGCACAUCUUGACGGUACCUAAUCAGAAAGCCACGGCUAACUACGUG
This 497-nucleotide ribosomal RNA is filed under the name uncultured bacterium. RNAcentral's name for it is "partial 16S ribosomal RNA". It matches the Rfam family "Bacterial small subunit ribosomal RNA", at positions 28 to 507 of the family's 1533-position model. The record is from RNAcentral.